Molecule: ribosomal RNA, 495 nt
Filed under: uncultured bacterium
Lineage: Bacteria
Description: bacterial SSU rRNA
Rfam family: Bacterial small subunit ribosomal RNA
Source: RNAcentral
AGAGUUUGAUUAUGGCUCAGGAUGAACGCUGGCGGCGUGCUUAACACAUGCAAGUCGAACGGAGUUUAGAGAGCUUGCUCUUUAAACUUAGUGGCGGACGGGUGAGUAACGCGUGGGUAACCUGCCUUUCACUGGGGGAUAACAGUUAGAAAUGACUGCUAAUACCGCAUAAGCGCACAGGUUCGCAUGAACUAGUGUGAAAAACUCCGGUGGUGAAAGAUGGACCCGCGUCUGAUUAGCUAGUUGGUGAGGUAACGGCCCACCAAGGCGACGAUCAGUAGCCGGCCUGAGAGGGUGAACGGCCACAUUGGGACUGAGACACGGCCCAAACUCCUACGGGAGGCAGCAGUGGGGAAUAUUGCACAAUGGGGGAAACCCUGAUGCAGCGACGCCGCGUGAGUGAAGAAGUAUUUCGGUAUGUAAAGCUCUAUCAGCAGGGAAGAAAAUGACGGUACCUGACUAAGAAGCCCCGGCUAACUACGUGCCAGCCGCGGC